AGCAGCCGCGGUAAUUCCAGCUCCAAUAGCGUAUAUUAAAGUUGUUGCAGUUAAAAAGCUCGUAGUUGAAUUUCGGGGUUAGUAGGUUGGUCGUGCCUCUGGUAUGUACUCGCCUUACUGAUUCCUCCUUCUUGAAGAACUGUAAUGCCAUUAAUUUGGUGUUGCAGGGAAACAGGACUGUUACUUUGAAAAAAUUAGAGUGUUUAAAGCAGGCCGAUGCCUGAAUACAUUAGCAUGGAAUAAUGAAAUAGGACGUUGAUCCUAUUUUGUUGGUUUCUAGGAUUGACGUAAUGAUUAAUAGGGAUAGUUGGGGGCAUUAGUAUUCAAUUGUCAGAGGUGAAAUUCUUGGAUUUAUUGAAGACUAACUACUGCGAAAGCAUUUGCCAAGGAUGUUUUCAUUAAUCAAGAACGAAAGUUAGGGGAUCGAAGACGAUUAGAUACCGUCGUAGUCUUAACCAUAAACUAUGCCGACUAGGGAUCGGAUGAUGUUAAUUUUUAAUGACUCAUUCGGCGCCUUACG
Molecule: ribosomal RNA, 520 nt
Filed under: uncultured Glomus
Lineage: Eukaryota; Fungi; Glomeromycota; Glomeromycetes; Glomerales; Glomeraceae
Description: SSU rRNA
Rfam family: Eukaryotic small subunit ribosomal RNA
Source: RNAcentral